CCCAAAGUUGACCGGGUUUAAAUAAAGAAAAAAUUAGAUAAAUAAAUAAACAUUUAUUAAAAAAGUCCAUUGAAAGUCCAGGCCUACUGUUGCUACCCAAAGCCCAAAUACAAAAACCCAUAUCCGGGUAUAACCCAAUAGCCGGAACAAUACCUAAUACCCUUAAGCUAAACCCAAACCCAAAUAAGGCCCGUUACACCCAGCAGUCCGUCAGACUCAUUAUCCCUGCUAGCCUAAGUCAGACCUAACCCAUUACAUUACAGACCUUGACCCAAAACAAAACAGCCCAAAAGGCCCAAUAGACUUAAGAGAAACAGGGAAACCCUAGGGUUUCCGAAUACUGUGGCGCCGCAAACAUUUCUGGAAGCUUCGGGGAGUGUCUGGCAACCCCCAAAUCGAGGCCACCGUUUAAUGAGUUGUCCCAAGGGGCUUCAAUGCUCAUCAACGCCCCGAUCCUCGGUCGUCCCUUGGUCUGGCCCCAAAUUACGUUAUGAAUGUCAUGACCAUCACCAAGGCUCCAUCAGCGCCGUGAUCAGUGCACGCGUCUACACCAGCAUGGUCACUGCCAGAUCCCUCGCUCGAUUGCCUGCAAGAAAAGGAAACAAACAGCAGAUACGCGAAAAAGCAGAGUAGAAAAUGGCAAGGAAAUCACAGCACAUCAGUCAAAGAUACAAGAAAUCAGAGAUUUCUUUCCUUAUGUAACAAAUCAGUAGGCUAUAAAAAAAGCCUUUGUAACCCUUGUAACGAUUACACAGAUACAGAAAUAAAGAAACGAAUACAAAUAGUUUCAAAGGUGAUAACUGAGUGACUUGUUCUCUAUUUUUUUUAGCCCAUAUAUAUGAACUGUUUAGCAAAAUACUAAGGGUAUUUGAAAAGAAGAAGAACUACCUGUUUUGGAUCUAAAGGAAUGAGGAUUUUUAAACCCUCCGAUCUUCGUAUACAGUGGCCCUUAGGGCGGCGCGUGGGCGCGUGGACCGGCACGUGGCGUACGAAGGCCAGAACCGGAGCUCCCUUCCUCUCUCUCUUUCAGAGAGAAUUUUUUAGUUUUUUUUUUAAAAAAUCGGGGUUCAAAUGAAUCUUAAGCUGAGAAGGUAGCUUAUAUAGCUUGAACGAAACGGCGUCGUUUUGCGACCCCCAGGAUCCGCGUGUUGACCCGAUUACCUGGGGAGGAUCCGCGCAUUUUUUAAAAUUGGGUUAAUUUCCCAAUCGGUCCUUCUACCCCUUUUGUGUUUACAAUUAAACUAUUUUAUUUAUGAUUUGGCCCUAUUAUUUUAUUUUAGUUUUAAUUUGACCCUGACAGUUGUUAAAUUAUAUUCUGAGAAACGUGGCCGUUUUAAGAAUAGGGCAUUUUGCCCAGUGAGUCCCUCUAAUUUUACGCGCGUUUUAAAUAGGGCCUCAAUUCAGUUUUGUUUCUUUGAAAUUCGCCCUGUAAUUUUGCUGAAUUUUAAAUUUAGUCCUAUAUUUAUUCUAUAUAUAUAUCUAUUUUAUAUAUUGAUAUUUAUUUUUAUCCUUAUUAUUUAUAUUAUAUACUAUAAGAUUAUUUUAUUAUACAUAUAUUAUUAUUCUUCAUAUUACCUAUUAUUUUUCAAAUUAUUUUACAUCAUUAUUUUUUAUAUUAUUAUAUUUUUACUUGUAUUAUAUGUUAAUUAUUUAUACAUAUAAACUUUCAUUAUUUUAUAUUAUAUCUAUUAUAUAUCUUAUUUCCUAUAUAUUUAAAUUAUAUUUUAUAACAUUUAUUUUAUUUUAUUUUUAUUCUAUAUUUUUUAUAUAUAUGUUAUGUGUAUCAUAUAUUAUCUAUUAUAUUAUUCAUUAAGAUUUGUAAAUUAAAUUACAUUUUAAACUCAUAUUAUAUAUAUUAAAUUAUUAAUUAUGUAUUAUUUUAUUUUAAAAUGAUGUUUUGUGAUAUGUAUUAUUUUAUAAAUCCUUUUACCUACUUUUAUUUUAUAUAUAUUUUUAUAUAAUUAUUAUUCUCUUAUAAAUAUUUUGUUAUUAUAUUUUAUAUAUUAUGUAGCAAAUACUAUUUUAAAAUUAUUAUUAAAAUUUAGGUCUUUAUUUGUGUUAUGUGUAUACUUUGUUGACAAUAAUUUAUUCCAUUGUUUUUAUAUUGCAUAUAUCAUGCGUUAUUUUAUAUUUAUUAUUUGAUAUUACAUUUCAUGAGCAUAUACAAUGAUAUUAUAUUACUCUUUUGUAUGCCAUACAUUAUUUAAUUAUUGCUUUCUUAUAUAUAACGUGCAUUAUUUAAUUAUCACUUUGUAUGUUUGUAUAUCUUGUUUAUUCAUUCUCAAUACAUGCUAUAUAUAUAUCUAUGUAUGCAUAUUGUUACUAUUUGCUUUAUAUGUAUUAUUUUAUAUGUAUAUAUCUAAUGCACGAUCUUUAUAUCAUAGUAUUCAUUUUUAAAUGCACGUAUUAUUUACCUACUACAAUAAUAUGUUACUAUGUAUGAUUUAUAAUGCAAUAUAAUUCCUCACACAUCACCAUUUUUUUAAAAAAAGAGCUCCAAGGUUUUCAAAAAAAUAUAAAGGCAAUGCUUGAUGUUUGGAAAUUUCGGGAAAGUAGUGCCCUAACUUAUCGGUUUGCGACUCUUCUCGUUGAGUUCGAAUAAUCAAAUACCCUUUUAAGUUUUUAAAGGUUUUCAAAAUGUAAGUGACUGUCUUGGAAUUUCAAAGAAAUAUGACCAAACUUACUGGAUGUGGCGUUUUGUUGUUUCAAGAUAGGGAUUUUCGAAAGGCUAACUCAAUGUCAAUAUUUUACGAGUGAGUUCCAAUUUUCAAAAUCCAAAAUAUUUCAAAGAGGAUUGCGUCUUAAAAUUUCUAAUUUCCGACCUUAAAGACAUUUGAUAAUCAAUUUGGUACCAAUUUUUGGGCGUUACGAGGGUGCUAACCCUUCCUCGUACGUAACCGACUCCCGAACUCGUUCUUUUGAUUUCGUAGACCAAAACCGAUGAUUUUAAAAUAAAAUUGAUCUAAAGGUGAUCCAAUCACACCUAAAAAGCUUGGUGGCGACUCCCGUUUUCAUUUUUUUAAAGUCGAUUCCCAUUUUCUAAAACUCGAUUUGAAAAUGAUUUCGACAGCUUGGCGACUCCACUGCGGACUAAUAAGAGAGUCAAGCCGUGUAAUUGAUUAUCUCUUGUCUUAAUGUCGGAAAUUAAAAAUUUUAAAAUUUAAUUUUCUUUGCAUUACAUGUGUUUGUGUUAUUGCAUGUGUUGCUAUAUUCUAAUACGCAUUGCAUUUGCAUGACCGUUGUGGUCACACCCUUAAGUGGGAGUGAGAAGCUACGCCUUCGUGAGGUUUUCGCCUCCGUGCAGGAUAGUGGAUCACUUUUGGGAUACAUCCGUACCUAUGGUUUCGUGAGAUUUUCAUCUCCGUGUAGCCAUAGGGAAAUGUGUCCCCCUGAACUGAACUCGAUUCAAAUGAGCCUAUAAUGGGUGAGGAUCGAGGAAUCUGCUGGUUCAGGUACCUCAACUUUAGAACUAAACCACAUAUAGAAGGACCGUAAGAGCUCAACCUAGAUAGAAUUAUACCGUAAUUAUUACCCUUACAGGUUAUCUUUGAGUUUAUUGUUAUCAUGUGAUACUAACUAUCUCUUUUCUUUUGUUGCAUAUCAUUUCGCAUUUAAAAGGUAUCAAUUCGCGGUCAGUGUCUAAAUUAGAGAGUUUUAUUAUAGAGAACGGACUUCUUGAUAGAGUGGAGAGCAAUGCCAACGUCCAUAGAUGGUCUGAGCAAACUCAGUUAGAAAAGGGAGAUAGUAUAGCUGUGGGAUAUAUGUCGGAGCUGUCAGGAUAUACUCGCAUCAGUGUCACGCAGGAUAAUCUCCAAGAACUUAAGGAGAUUUGGGAUCAAUGGGGCAACGAGACUAAACAGUUAUUCUAUGGUAAUUACGUAGAUUUACCUUACUUGCUCGAUGUUCAAAUAGAUGAGCACUUGUUCCGAGCCCUCGCUCAGUUUUGGAAUCCAGCGUAUAGUUGCUUUACUUUUGGGGAGGUAGACUUGGUGCCUACCGUAGAGGAGUACACUGCCUUGUUACGUUGUCCCAGGUUCCAGGUUGAUAGAAUCUAUUCUCGAGCUGCUAAUGUCCCUACCUUUUGGAAGAAAUUGAUGACUAUUACAGGGAUGAGUGAGCAGUGGAUUACGACCAGAAUUAAAGAGAACGGUGAGUGCAAGUGCAUUUCAUGGGACGCUUUGAAGGGUCUGAUUUUGAUGCAUCCCGAUGAAACAAAGAGGGUAGAUGUUUUUGCCUUAAGUUUGUAUGGAUUGAUGGUGUUCCCUAGGGCUUUGGGAUAUGUGGAUGAGGCAACCACGGAUCUUUUCCAUAGACUCAGUAAGAGGGUCACUUCAGUCCCUGCAAUUUUGGCAGAGACAUUCAGGUCCUUAGGCACAUGUAGAAAAGCUGGUGCAGGCAGGUUUGUUGGUUGUGUACAAUUGCUUCUAGUUUGGUUCUAUAGUCAUUUUCAAUUGGUAGAUAAGGUCGUUUGUCGGGUUUUCUUCGAGGAUUACUCACCGCUGAAGGGCAUAGUCGCUUCAACUAGGAGAGUUGAUGUUCCAGAGGAGAAUUGGAUAGCACUACUUCAAAAUCUUCAGUCGAAAGAUGUUGAGUGGAGAGCUCCAUGGAUGAUUCCUGGUGAGAUUCUUUACCGUUGCGGCAGUUUCGAUUGGGUCCCUUUAUUGGGAAUUUGGGGUGCCAUUGGUUAUGCCCCCUUGCUCGUGUUAAGGCAAUUCGAUUUGAGGCAGUUCGUGCCAGCAACUCAUGGGCUAACUCAAAGUGAGUUCGCAUAUAGAGGAGCUGAUUACAAGAAAAGGGUCGGUGAGAUCUCUAGCGCUUGGAACAAGGCGUGCCGAUUGAAAGGAGUAGCUAUUGGCCCUGCUACGACUCCAGAAUAUGUUGAAUGGAGAGGUAGAAGGAUCAAUGAUAACAUUCCUGAGCCAAAUAUGGAAAGAGCUCGACCGAUGGAGGAAUAUCUGCAAGUGAUGCCCUCGGAGUUAGAAAUUAUGAAGCAAGAAUUUGAGAGGAAAAAUCUGGAGCUCGAGAAAAGGAUAGCAAAGCUUGAAGAAGAAAAAAUGUACUUGAGUUUAGAUAUUGAUGUCCAGAAGAUGGAGGUCGAAAAAAAAAGAAAGGAAGGAAAAGAGGAAGAUUGAAGAGGAUAGAGAUGACUUGAAGGAAUACUACAAAAAGGCACAGGUAUCCUUGAGAAGAGCGAAAAUAGGAGGGUCUUCAGAUCAAUUGCAGAAAGAGGUCCAAGAAGGAAAGGCAAGAGCUGAGUACUGGGAGAAGAAGUUUCAAGAGAUGCAAUCGCGAAAUUUGGCAUUAGAAGAAGAGAAUAAAGGGUUGAAGUCUAAAGUAACUGAGCUUGGAAGAUCCCUUCGAUGGCAUCGCAACCAUGAUUCUACGGUCGAGUUAAAAGAGCUAAAGAGUAAAGUUGAAGAUUUGGAAGCAGCAUUGCAGGAAAGUAAACUUCAGAUCGAGCAACUCGAGACACAAGGAGAUUAUCUAAAGGGAGAGCUUCAUCAGUCUAGAGGGCAGAUUAGAGAAAUGGAUCAUGUCAUGGAAGAAGCCAUAGCUCAGAUUCGAGAGGUUGCUGAAUAUGUGCGAGACUUGGUUGUACGAGCCGAGGUAUUGAGUAUGAUGUGUGGGUCGUCGUCAGACAUCGGAAAAGAGUUAGCCCUUUUAUUAGAUAAAGUUAAAACUUUGGGCAUUAGGGCGAAAGCAUACUUGUAAUCCAUUUAUAUGUAAAGAUAUUCUUUUUCUAAAUGAAGUUUUCUAAAUGAGAUUGAAUCGAGAUUGAUGCCUUUGUUGCAUUCAUACAUUUGCAUUACAUCAUAUCAUAUGCAUUCAAGGUUAUAGAAAGACCCUAAUUAGUUAAAGUUUCUUUAUAAAGGUAGAAAAGAAAAACUGGAAAUUACGCAUUCUUACGGCACUCGCACUAAAACUAAGAACAUGGAUCAAAGGUUUGAGCAGUUGCAAAAGGAUAUGCAAGACCAGUUGCAAGAGCAGUUGGCUAAAAUGCAGAAUGAGAUGAGGGAGCAAAUGAUGGAAGCUCAGAGGAAUAUAAUGGCCGAAAUGGCUCAGUUACUGAGGGCCACUGAUAAAGGAAAGGCUCCUAUGGCCAUCAUUGAAGAGGAAAAUGAGGGUCCUCUUCUAGGUUUUACACCGCCGCAUGUAUCAUUGCAAACCGAGGCACCUCCUAGAAGGCCAUCUACUACUGUGAGGCCUCAGCAUGGGCUAAUCGAUGCUGGUAUCCAUGUGAAUUUUUCGGUUGGUUCAGGGCUUAAUAUGGGUGACAAUCUUACUAAUCCUCUUGUUCCUGAUCUAGAUAUGGUGAAAAAGGAAUAUUUGAAGGCCGAAGCUGCAAGGUAAUUAGAUGAACGCUGUAGAUGGUUAGAAGAAAAGUUCAAGGCUUUGGAAGGCACUGGCAAUAAUCAUGGGGAUGAUGCCAAGGACUUAAGUCUAGUCCCAAACCUAGUGUUACCUCACAAAUUCAAAAUGCCAGAAUUUGAAAAAUACAAUGGUACUACUUGCCCAGAGGCCCACAUCACAAUGUUUUGUAGAAGGAUGACGGGGUAUGUAAACAAUGAUCAGCUGUUGAUCCAUUGUUUUCAAGAUAGUUUGAUAGGUGCGGCAGCCAGAUGGUACAAUCAGUUGACCGGGCUAGAAUAAGUUCAUGGAGGGAUCUUGCAUAAGCCUUCAUGCAACAGUAGAAUCAUGUAACAGACAUGACCCCUGACAGGAUUACCCUGUAAAACAUGGAGAAGAAGCCUAAUGAGAAUUUUAGGCAAUAUGCACAGAGGUGGAGAGAGGUAGCGAUAGAGGUUCAACCACCACUGUUGGAGAAGGAGACCACUAUGUUAUUCAUUAAUAUUUUGAAAGCCCUAUUUAUUACUCAUAUGAUUGGAAGCACUACUAAAAGUUUUGCGGACAUAGUUAUGGCAGGAGAGAUGAUAGAGAAUGCCAUAAGAGGGGGAAGAAUUGAAGGAGAGGGAGUCAAAAGAUCAGCCCUAAGAAGAAAAGACAAUGAGGUAAACAAUACAAGUGGUUUUAAUUCAAAAGCAGUCACAGUUAGCCAGCCCAAAGUAGCCACAGUUGGGCAACAAGUCUCUUAAAAGCAGGAAUCCAACACUAGGUAUGAGAGGAUGCAAUUUACACCUAUACCUGUGACGUAUAGGGAACUCUAUCAAAAUCUAUAUGAUGCGCAUGCUAUAGCCCCUUUCCAUUUAAAACCAUUACAGCCUCUGUAUCCUAAAUGGUAUGAUGCAAAUGCCAGAUGUGAGUAUCAUGCUGGAAUAUCGGGGCACUUAAUCGAGAAUUGUACUGGAUUCAAGAAAGCCGUAGAGAGGUUGAUCAAGAAUGGGGUUUUAAAAUUUGAGAGUACCUCAAAUACUGAGAAUCCUUUGCCAAACCAUGACAAUCAGGGAGUAAAUGCCAUUGGUGAAGCCGGUGAAAAAAGGGAAAAGGAAAAUGUUGAUGAGAUAAGGAUGCCUAUGAGGGUAAUCUGGAAGGAGAUGAUGAAGAAAGGUAUGUUGACCUUUAAAAAUACGAAAGAAAUAAUGUGGGAUUACGGUGAGUUUCGUGAAGAUUGCGAGGAAUUCAAGGCCUUGGUGCAAGGCUUCAUAGACAACAAAGAGCUACAGGUUUAUGAAGGUAGCUCUAGUGAAAAGCAAGUAUGUGUGUUGGAAAAUGAACAGCAAAGAACCAACAGACCAAGGAUCAUUAUCUCCUUGCCAGGGAAUAAUGAAAUAAGGACACCAUCAGCGCCCAAGGUUAUUAUCCAUACACCUACUCCUUUCCCUUACAAGGAUAGCAAGAAAGUACCAUGGAGUUAUGACUGUAGCGUGACGGUGCCGGGAGAAGGAAACAUAGCCAGCGCAUCUAAAGAUGUACAAGAGGAAGGUUCCCAUACGUGAAGUGGGAAGCGUUAUGAUAUGGGGGACGUCAGGGUGGAGCCCACAAAAUCUAAGAAUGCUGAAAUUGAGAAAAAGAGUGAAGUACCUGUUAACGAGCCGGUGAGAGAGGAGGAAGCUAAGGAAUUUCUAAAGUUUCUUAAGCAUAGUGAGUACAGUAUGGUCGAGUAGUUGCGUAAGCAACCAGCGCGUAUAUCGAUUUUAGCCUUACUGCUAAGCUCUGAAGUGCAUCGAGAAGCGUUGUUGAAGGUACUCAACGAGACAUAUGUCACUCAUGAUAUAUCUGUCAAUAAGUUGGACCGGUUGAUAAAUAACAUCAAUGCUGAUAAUUUCAUCUACUUCAAUGAUGAUCAAAUUCCACCUGGGGGCAUAGGGUUAACUAAGGCUUUGCACAUCACCACUCGUUGCAAAGGAUACACGUUUCCAAGUGUACUCGUUGAUAAUGGGUCCGCUUUGAACGUCCUUCCAUUAUCCACAUUCAACAGAUUACCUAUUGACAGUUCACACAUGAAGACAUGUCAUAAUGUGGUAAGAGCCUUUGACAGAACUGAAAGGAAAGUAAUGGGACGAAUUGAUAUCCCUCUGGAGAUUAGACCAAAUACGUAUGAAGUUGACUUCUUGGUAAUGGAUAUCAAGCCCUCCUAUAAUUGUUUGUUGGGGAGGCCAUGGAUACACUCGGCAGGAGCGGUGCCUUUUUUACUGCGCCAAAAAUUGAAGUUGGUGACAGAUGGACGCUUGAUAACCAUCAAUGCAGAGGAGGACAUCAUAGCAGUCGUCACUAGUAAACCUCCUUAUGUGGAGACAAAUGAGGAGGCUAUUGAGUGUUCUUUUCGUUCUUUAGAAAUUGUUAAUACUACCUUCAUUUCGGAGGGAAGCGAGGUGCUGGUUCCCAGGAUGUCUAGAGCAACAAGGAUGGCCCUACAAAUAAUGAUGGGGAAAGGAGCAUUGCCAGGAAAAGGACUAGGAAAAUAGUUGCAAUGAGGGAUUCAAGUCCCAAAAUUGAUGGAGAAGAAGGAUCGCUUUGGUUUGGGUUUUAAGCCAGACCAUAAACAAAAGAGACAAGAGAUGAAAAAGCGUCAAGUAAGAAGGAAGGCGCAUUUGAACGGAGGAGAAGUAGAGUGGGAACUGAUGACAUUCCCACCUAUAUCCAAAACCUUUAAGUCAGGAGGGUUGCUAGUAAAAGAGAGUCAUCAAAUCAAUAUUGUACAUAAUGAGUGGUUUGGACAGGAAAACCUUGAGGGUAUUCACCCUUACGAACCGGGGAGCUCUCUGAACAAUUGGACUGCGGAGGAUCUUCCUGUAGUCUUUAGAAAUUUUUCAGAGUAAUUCUCGAAACAUGUUUAUUACUCUAGGGCCUAGGAGUAGUAAGAUUACAUUUUGUGAAAAUAGGCCUAUGUUCAUAUAUUAUUAUUCAAAUAAAACAUAACUUUUACCAAUUUAAAAGAGUAUUGUCUCAUUUUUAUCAACCAAUAUUUCUUUAAAUUCUAACAAUUCUUAUUCUUUUAUUCAUAGCACAUAAACGAUCAUUCUCAAAUUCAUUCAUUCUUUAUAUAUUCUUUCAUACCCCUUACAGGUCUCUAGAUAUCAAUGAUAUGAGCGCUAAUACUGCCGUUCCUGAUUUCUCUUGUGAGCAAGACAUGUGUUUAGAGGAGCCUUAGGAUUUUGAAGAUGUUCAAGAUUGUGACGUAUCUCUCGAUCUAUUAAGAAUGGUAAAACAGGAGGAGAAACAAAUCAUGCCACAUGAAAAAGAGGCAAUAGAUAAUAUAGCCCUAGAGGAAGGGAAGGAGGUCAAAAUUGGAACACUGAUCGCUAAUGACACAAGGCGUAGCUUGAUUGAGUUGCUUCAGGAAUUCAAGGAUAUCUUUGCAUGGUCUUAUCAGGAUAUGCCCGGAUUGAGUACUGAUAUUGUAGUACAUCGUCUUCCGAUAAGACAAGAAUGUAGACCGGUCCAACAGAAGUUGCGAAGGAUGCGGCCAAACAUUGUCCUGAAAAUAAAAGAUGAGGUUAAGAAGCAGUUUGAUGCAGGAUUUCUGCAGGAAGUGAAGUACUCUGAAUGGGUAGCUAAUAUUGUACCUGUUCCUAAGAAAGACGGGAAGGUACGAAUGUGCGUUGAUUACAGAGAUCUAAACAAAGCAAGCCCAAAGGAUAAUUUUCCUCUACCACAUAUCGACACUUUAGUAGACAACACAGCGGGAUAUUCGUUGUUCUCCUUCAUGGACGGCUUCUCAGGAUACAAUCAGAUAAAGAUGCAUCCAGAUGAUAUGGAUAAAACUACUUUCAUAACAUUAUGGGGCACCUUUUGUUAUAAAGUAAUGCCGUUUGGGUUGAAGAACGCAGGGGCAACAUACCAACGAGCCAUGGUAAACUUGUUUCACGACAUGAUGCAUAAGGAUAUUGAGGUAUACGUUGAUGAUAUGAUCGCCAAGUCGCGAACAGAAAAAGAACACAUUGAGGUCUUGAGAGGAUUGUUCUUAAGAUUGAGAAAAUUUCAGUUGAAGCUCAAUCCAGCAAAGUGCACCUUUGAAGCCAGAUCGGGGAAGUUAUUAGGCUUCGUAGUCAGUAAAAAGGGAAUUGAAGUUGACUCAGACAAGGUCAGAGCCAUACGGGAGUUGCCUCCACCACGUACUCAAAAAGAAGUUCGAGGAUUCCUAGGAAGGUUGAAUUACAUUGCUCGGUUCAUUUUACAAUUGACCAAGAAAUGUGAUCCUAUCUUUCGUCUCCUCAGAAAGCACAAUCAAGGUGCUUGGGAUGAAGAAUGCCAGAAUGCUUUUGAGAAAAUCAAGCAGUAUUUGUUGAAUGCUCCAAUGUUAUCUCCGCCUAGUCUAGAUAAACCGUUAAUACUAUACUUGUCAGUGUUUAGCAAUUCUAUGGGAUGUGUGCUUGGUCAGCAUGACGAGUCAGGGAAAAAGGAAAAGGCAAUUUAUUAUCUCAGUAAGAAAUUUACUGAUUGUGAAAUGAGAUAUUCACUAAUCGAAAAGUUGUGCUGUGCGUUGAUUUGGACCACACGGAGAUUAAGACAAUACAUGCUAUACCAUACAACUUGGCUCAUCUCAAAAUUAGAUCCAUUAAAAUACAUGAUGGAAUCAACGGCUCUAAAUGGAAGAAUGGCGAGAUGGCAAAUUUUGCUUUCAGAGUUUGAUAUAGUUUAUGUAAGUCAGAAGGCUAUCAAAGGAAGUGCGGUGGCAGACUUCUUGGCCAGUAGAGCUUUAGAGGAUUACGAGCCAUUGAAUUUUGAUUUUCCAAAUGAGGAGCUAAUGUGUAUAGCAGCAACUGAAGAUUCUCCAUGGAAGCUAAAUUUUGAUGGGGCUUCUAAUGCAGUCAGAAAUGGAAUUGGGGCAGUCUUGGUAUCCCCGAAUGGCGACCAUUACCUGUUCAUGUGCAAGUUGGAUUUUGACUGUACAAAUAAUAUGGCUGAAUACGAAGCAUGCAUCAUGGGGCUCCAAGCGGCCAUAGAAAGAGGCAUAAAAACCCUAGAAGUAUAUGGAGAUUCUGCGUUAGUAAUCUAUCAGUUAAGAGGUGAAUGGGAGACAAGAGACCCUAAGUUGAUCAAUUAUCGAAUGGUAGUUUUAGGGUUACUAAGAGAGUUCGAUGACAUCACCUUCAACUAUCUCCCACGAGAUGAGAAUCAGAUGGCAGAUGCUUUAGCAACCUUGGCUUCACUGAUUAAGGCAAACAAAGAGGAAGAGAUGAGACCAAUUCAAAUGAGUGUCUAUGAAUUUUCAGCUAGCUGUUGUAACCUUGAAGAGGAAGAAAAGGAUGACAAUCCUUAGUAUCAGGAUAUAUUGCGAUAUGUAAGAGAUCGUAAAUAUCCAGCACAGGCAUCCGAAAAUGACAAACGAACCCUGAGAAGAUUAGCUUGUGACUAUGUUUUGGACGGGGAUGUUCUGUAUAAGAGAAGGAAAUACCAAGUACUUUUGAGAUGUGUCAAUGCUGUGGAAGCCAAGCUAAUUCUAGAAGAGGUCCAUGAAGGUGCAUGUGGUACGCAUGCAAAUGGGUUCACGAUGGCAAGACAAAUCAUGAGGUUUGGCUAUUACUGGGCCACUAUGGAAGGAGACUGUAUCAAUUAUGCCAAAAAAUGCCAUAAGUGUCAGAUUUAUGGGGACAAAAUUCAUGUACCACCCUCACCUUUACAUGUCAUGACGUCUCCAUGGCCAUUUUCCAUGUAGGGCAUGGAUAUCAUCAGACCAAUAUCGCCGAAAGCUUCGAAUGGACAUCGGUUUAUUUUCGUAGUUAUUGACUACUUUACAAAAUGGGUAGAGGUUGCUUCUUACGCAAAUGUUACUAAGUCAGCUAUAAGUCGAUUUUUGAAGAAGGAAAUCAUUUGUCGGUAUGGAGUGCCUGAGAGGAUCAUAUCCGACAAUGUAUUGAAUUUGAACAACAAAACGAUAGCAGAGGUUUCGACCAGUUCAAAAUCAAGCAUCACAACUCUUCACCCUAUCGUCCAAAGAUGAAUGGGGCAGUGGAGGCUGCCAAUAAAAACAUUAAGAAAAUAGUGGGAAAGAUGACUGAGACUUAUAGAGAUUGGCAUGAAAAGCUACCGUUUUCACUCUUGGCUUAUCGAACAUCUGUUAGAACUUCUACUGGGGCAACUCCGUUCUCGUUAGUUUACUGGAUGGAAGCAGUUUUACCUAUUGAAGUGGAAAUACCCUCUCUCCGAAUUUUAACAGAGAUAAGGUUAGAUGAAGCUGAAUGGGUUCAGUCUCGAUAUGACCAGCUAAACUUGAUUGAGGAAAAGAGGCUGAAGGCUAUCCAACAUAGUCAGAUGUACCAGAAGCGUAUGAUACGAGCUUAUGAUAAAAAAGUUCGUCCAAGGGAAUUCCAUGAGGGGGACCUUGUGCUAAAGAAAAUCAUUCCCAUUCAAAAGGACUUUAGAGGAAAGUGGAUGCCAAAUUGGGAGGGGCCAUACGUCGUGAAGAAGGCUUUUUCUGGUGGUGCAUUGAUUUUGACAGAAAUGGAUGGAAAAAGCCUACCCAAUCCGGUGAACUCAGACUCAGUUAAAAAUACUUUGUCUAAAAGCGAAAAGAAUCCAAGGUGAAAACCUGCAAAAGGGCGCCUUGAAUUUUGAAAAAAAAAUGGAUAGGCCAAUGUGAAAACCCACAAAGGGCACCUUGUGACUAAAGGGAUUUUGAGUUGAAAACCUGAAAGGGCAGCUCAAAUUUUGAAGGGCAUACAGCAAACUUGCUAUAUUUGACUUGACAGAGAGUGAGGCACAGUGUACAUUGGGGCAUCAACAAAGUACUUUGGAUCUUUUAAACACAUGUCGAACUCAAGAAAGGCUUCGGGGAACUAAUGUAUAGAUGCUCAAGCGGCGAUAUUUAUCCUGUUUGCUGUCUUUAGAUUCUAUUUCUUCUUAAAGAUAUGCUAUCAAACUUAUUUCCUUUGUACUGUUAACAAUUCGAAUCCAAUUAUUCUCAAAGAUUUACUCAUCUCCCGAUAUUUUUUAAGUAUGUUGCAUUGAAAUAAUGAUAGAUGAGCUAAAAUAUUUUCACAAAAGAAGUUUUACACAUCACUUUGGAAUUUCUAGAUAAUACAAGAAACUAAAACAGGACAAUUGUUCGAGAAAUUCACGUAAGUAAGGAAUGAAGGAACUCGAGAGAUUUCUUUCUUCCAGUUCAAAAAGAAAUGGAUGAUUCAAUUCUUACAGACAUCCUCAAUAGAUCAUAGCAUUGGAGGAAGGCCUACAAGCUGAGUAAGAAUAAAGUUUUGAGAAAGAGAAAUGAAGGAAUGAAUAAUGACACCUGAGAUAGGGGUUAUAUUCACAGCACUUUGCAUCAUAACAUGUUAAGGGCAUUUGACUCAUUUCAAUCAUAGCAUACUUAGGCAUAGGCACAUACUCAUCCUACAGGUCAUGAAGAUCAAAGAUUUCAACAUGGUAGCCUAUGCUUAUAGGAAAUAAAUUGAAGACAACAGAUCUAAACUUCAGACAUUUAUGUUGAAGCAGAUCCAAGAUGAUUUGGUAUUCUUGUGUUUACAAGAAACAAGUCGAGGACAUAGCAGAUUUGACUCUCAGACGUUCUCAAAGAUAGCAGAUCUAACCUUCAGAUGUUUAUACUGAAGCAGAUCCAAGAUGAUUUGGUAUUUUUGUGUUUACAAGAAACAAAUCGAGGACAUGGCAGAUUUGACUCUCAGAUGUUCUCAAAUAUAGCAGAUCUAACCUUCAGAUGUUUAUACUGAAGCAGAUCCAAGAUGAUUUGGUAUUCUUAUGUUUACAAGAAACAAAUCGAGGACAUAGCAGAUUUGACUCUCAGGCGUUCUCAAAUAUAGCAGAUCUAACUUUCAGAUGUUUAUACUGAAGCAGAUCCAAGAUGAUUUGGUAUUUUUGUGUUUACAAGAAACAAAUCGAGGACAUAGCAGAUUUGACUCUCAGACGUUCUCAAAUAUAGCAGAUCUAACCUUCAGAUGUUUAUACUGAAGCAGAUCCAAGAUGAUUUGGUAUUCUUGUGUUUACAAGGAACAAAUCGAGGACAUUGCAGAUAUGACUCUCAAAUGUUCUGAAACAGACUCAAGAUGAUUAGACAUCCUUGCAAAUUGAAGAAGUAGAAUCAGUGUCUCUAUGUUCGGCGGAAAGCAGAUUGAAGAUCAUAGAAUCGAUCAAAUUUGGGUCUUUCUAUGAAUCUUUGCUUGAUUCCUGUUACACAGCAAUAAACAAAGAGGGGCAGCUGUAAUAGCCCAAAUUUGACCGGGUUUAAAUAAAGAAAAAAUUAGAUAAAUAAAUAAACAUUUAUUAAAAAAGUCCAUUGAAAGUCCAGGCCUACUGUUGCUACCCAAAGCCCAAAUACAAAAACCCAUAUCCGGGUAUAACCCAAUAGCCAGAACAAUACCUAAUACCCCUAAGCUAAACCCAAACCCAAAUAAGACCCGUUACACCCAGCAGCCCGUCAGACUCAUUAUCCCUGCUAGCCUAAGUCAGACCUAACCCAUUACAUUAUAGACCUUGACCCAAAACAAAACAGCCCAAAAGGCCCAACAGACUUUAGAGAAACAGGGAAACCUUAGGGUUCUUGAAUACUGUGGUGCCGCAAACAUUUCUGGAAGCUUCGGGGAGUGUCUGGCAACCCCCAAAUUGAGGCCACCGUUUAAUGAGUUGUCCCAAGGGGCUUCAAUGCUCAUCAACGCCCCGAUCAUCGGUCGUCCCUUGGUCUGGCCCCAAAUUACGUCAUGAAUGUCAUGACCAUCACCAAGGCUCCAUCAGCGCCGUGAUCAGUGUACGCGUCUACACCAGCAUGGUCACUACUGGAUCCCUCGCUCGAUUGCCUGCAAGAAAAGGAAACAAACAGCAGAUACGCAAAAAAGCAGAGUAGAAAAUGGCAAGGAAAUCACAGCAGAUCAGUCAGAGAUACAAGAAAUCAGAGAUUUCUUUCCUUAUGUAACAAAUCAGUAGGCUAUAAAAAAAGCCUUUGUAACCCUUGUAACGAUUACACAGAUACAGAAAUAAAGAAACGAAUACAAACAGUUUCAAAGGUGAUAAUCGAGUGACUUGUUCUCUAUUUUUUUUAGCCCAUAUAUAUGAACUGUUUAGCAAAAUACUAAGGGUAUUUGAAAAGGAGAAGAACUACCUGUUUUGGAUCUGAAGAAACGAGGAUUUUUAAACCCUCCGAUCUUCGUAUACAGUGGCCCUUAGGGCGGCGCGUGGGCGCGUGGAUCGGCACGUGGCGUACGAAGGCCAGAACCGGAGCUCCCUUCCUCUCUCUCUUUCAGAGAGAAUUUUUUAGUUUUUUUUUAAAAAAUCGGGGUUC
RNAcentral lists this long non-coding RNA (15628 nucleotides) under Gossypium barbadense (sea-island cotton). RNAcentral describes it as "long non-coding RNA (GBAR_LNC012102)". The record is from RNAcentral. Lineage: Eukaryota; Viridiplantae; Streptophyta; Magnoliopsida; Malvales; Malvaceae.